CCUAGUGUGGUAGUAGUGGGGAAGAGUGCACAAGGGGGGAAACCCGGAGGCAGCGACGCCGAGUGAGUGAAGAAGUAUUUCGGUAUGUAAAGCUCUAUCAGCAGGGAAGAAAAAGACGGUACCUGAUUAAGAAGCCCCGGCUAACUACGGGCCAGCAGCCGCGGGAAUACGUAGGGGGCAAGCGUUAUCCGGAUUUACUGGGUGUAAAGGGAGCGUAGACGGCAGCACAAGGCUGGAGUGAAAUCCCGGGGCUUAACCCCGGAACUGCUUUGGAAACUGUGCAGCUAGAGUGCAGGAGAGGUAAGUGGAAUUCCUAGUGUAGCGGUGAAAUGCGUAGAUAUUAGGAGGAACACCAGUGGCGAAGGCGGCUUACUGGACUGUAACUGACGUUGAGGCUCGAAAGCGUGGGGAGCAAACAGGAUUAGAUACCCCGGUAGUC
RNAcentral lists this ribosomal RNA (439 nucleotides) under uncultured bacterium. Its description in RNAcentral is "partial 16S ribosomal RNA". It matches the Rfam family "Bacterial small subunit ribosomal RNA", at positions 338 to 795 of the family's 1533-position model. The record is from RNAcentral.